RNAcentral lists this ribosomal RNA (430 nucleotides) under uncultured Rhizobiaceae bacterium. Its description in RNAcentral is "bacterial SSU rRNA". It matches the Rfam family "Bacterial small subunit ribosomal RNA", at positions 948 to 1382 of the family's 1533-position model. The record is from RNAcentral. Lineage: Bacteria; Pseudomonadati; Pseudomonadota; Alphaproteobacteria; Hyphomicrobiales; Rhizobiaceae.
AAUUCGAUGAUACGCGAGGAACCGUUACCUGGGCUCAAAUGUAUGUUGACGUAUCUGAAAGGGAUACUUCUCGGACAAUAUACAAGGUGCUGCAUGGUUGUCGUCAGCUCGUGCCGUGAGGUGUCGGGUUAAGUCCCAUAACGAGCGCAACCCCUAUCAUUAGUUGCCAUCAGGUCAAGCUGGGGACUCUAAUGAAACUGCCUACGCAAGUAGUGAGGAAGGUGGGGAUGACGUCAAGUCCUCAUGGCCCUUACGGGCUGGGCUACACACGUGCUACAAUGGUGGUGACAGUGGGCAGCGAGCACGCGAGUGUGAGCUAAUCUCCAAAAGCCAUCUCAGUUCGGAUUGCACUCUGCAACUCGAGUGCAUGAAGUUGGAAUCGCUAGUAAUCGCGGAUCAGCAUGCCGCGGUGAAUACGUUCCCGGGCCUU